This 370-nucleotide ribosomal RNA is filed under the name uncultured organism. Its description in RNAcentral is "bacterial SSU rRNA". It matches the Rfam family "Bacterial small subunit ribosomal RNA", at positions 526 to 896 of the family's 1533-position model. The record is from RNAcentral.
CGUAGGGUGCAAGCGUUAAUCGGAAUUACUGGACGUAAAGCGUGCGCAGGCGGUUUUGUAAGACAGAUGUGAAAUCCCCGGGCUCAACCUGGGACCUGCAUUUGUGACUGCAAGGCUAGAGUACGGUAGAGGGGGAUGGAAUUCCGCGUGUAGCAGUGAAAUGCGUAGAUAUGCGGAGGAACACCGAUGGCGAAGGCAAUCCCCUGGACCUGUACUGACGCUCAUGCACGAAAGCGUGGGGAGCAAACAGGAUUAGAUACCCUGGUAGUCCACGCCCUAAACGAUGUCAACUGGUUGUUGGGUCUUUACUGACUCAGUAACGAAGCUAACGCGUGAAGUUGACCGCCUGGGGAGUACGGCCGCAAGGUUG